RNAcentral lists this long non-coding RNA (213 nucleotides) under Glycine max (soybean). RNAcentral describes it as "long non-coding RNA (GMAX_LNC000785)". The record is from RNAcentral. Lineage: Eukaryota; Viridiplantae; Streptophyta; Magnoliopsida; Fabales; Fabaceae.
AUCGAAGCAUGGGGGAGUCUGGUGGAUUGUCCUUCUGAGCAAGAGUUCGAUGAUUGCCUUAUUCAUAUUAGAAAAAAAGGCAUGUUUACCAAAGAUAAAAGGAAGAAUAAGUGCUCUAAGUUUGCAAGCAAAAACUACUACAAGAUGAUUAGGAUUUUGGGUUUAGAGAUUUUGGGUUAUGUUUUAGGAUUUAUGAUUUAUGGUUUAGGGUUU